AACGAACGCUGGCGGCAGGCCUAACACAUGCAAGUCGAACGCCCCGCAAGGGGGAGUGGCAGACGGGUGAGUAACACGUGGGAACCUUCCCUAUAGUACGGAAUAGCCCAGGGAAACUUGGAGUAAUACCGGUAUACGCCCGAAGGGGAAAGAAUUUCGCUAUAGGAUGGGCCCGCGUAGGAUUAGCUAGUUGGUGAGGGUAAUGGCUCACCAAGGCGACGAUCCUUAGCUGGUUUGAGAGAACGACCAGCCAC
Molecule: ribosomal RNA, 254 nt
Filed under: uncultured bacterium
Lineage: Bacteria
Description: partial 16S ribosomal RNA
Rfam family: Bacterial small subunit ribosomal RNA
Source: RNAcentral